Molecule: long non-coding RNA, 770 nt
Organism: Sinocyclocheilus grahami
Lineage: Eukaryota; Metazoa; Chordata; Actinopteri; Cypriniformes; Cyprinidae
Source: Ensembl
AUGACAGACAUCUUACCUUCAUUUCUCCCUCCAAUGCAUGCCACCAGGUACGUCAAGAGUCUGCAGGAGAGACCUACGCCACCAGCAGAGCCACAGGCAGGAAAGGUGGUCAAUCCACGCCGGCCAACUGCUGAGGACGAGCCACCACAGGUGCUGGAGAGGACAUCUCCACCUACUCCAGUGGUGCAGCUCCCAACUCCGAGGUUUUGGGGAGCUUUUGAAGACCUGUUUCCCGUUACCCUUCACGGGAAGCCUCCGACGAAGGUGCAGGCAGCAGAGGCAGGAUUUGAGGACCGCAGCUACUACCACUACUGGAGGAGGCUUCAGUACAAGCUGCGGGUACAGUAUACUCUUGAGCAAUCCAUUGACAGGACUGGCCAAAAACCCCCGGCGUCUCGUGUCCAGCGUGCCAUUGCCAAGGAGACCAGGUGGACCACUAAUGUGCCAUCCGUGGACAGUGUUCUGCUGGCGUGGGUGCCCUGCCAGGAACUGUGUCCUGUCGCAAAUGACCCUCUCCUCAUUGCUUCCGUGGUCCAUCAGAAGUGGAAAGGGCUGGCCAUUAAGCACUUCGAGGGGAAAGGCAAAGGUGUGACUACCCACAUUUGUAAUUAUUUGGAGGAACAGGCAGAGGGAAGCUGUUUGCUCAAUAGCACGUUCAUUUACCUUUGUGCAGGGGUCAUCGCCACCAUGGAGUUCCAGAGGAACCAGCAAAAAUGAGCUCCUAAAACUUAAAAAAAAUCUUCAAACAGCGGUACGAGAGGAUGUGGUGC